UAGGGAAUAUUAGAAAUGGACGAAAGUCUGAUCUAGCAACACCGCGUGUGCGAAGAAGGCCUUCGGGUCGUAAAGCACUUUUUGGAAGGAAUAGGAAGGAAUGUACUUCCAGAAUAAGUCUCGGCUAACUACGUGCCAGCAGCCGCGGUAACACGUAGGAGGCGAACGUUAUCCGGAUUUACUGGGCGUAAAGCGCGUGUAGGUGGUGCUGUAAGUAGGGCGUGAAAGCUCCUGGCUCAACUGGGAGAGGCCGUUCUAAACUACAGAACUAGAGGAUGGUAGAGGGAGGUGGAAUUCCAGGUGUAGCGGUGGAAUGCGCAGAUAUCUGGAGGAACACCGGUGGCGAAGGCGGCCUCCUGGACCAUUCCUGACACUCAGACGCGAAAGCUAGGGUAGCAGACGG
RNAcentral lists this ribosomal RNA (403 nucleotides) under uncultured bacterium. RNAcentral's name for it is "bacterial SSU rRNA". It matches the Rfam family "Bacterial small subunit ribosomal RNA", at positions 355 to 775 of the family's 1533-position model. The record is from RNAcentral.